RNAcentral lists this unclassified non-coding RNA (335 nucleotides) under soil metagenome. Its description in RNAcentral is "partial contains 5.8S ribosomal RNA, internal transcribed spacer 2, and large subunit ribosomal RNA". The stretch from base 1 to 120 matches the Rfam family "5.8S ribosomal RNA", at positions 35 to 154 of the family's 154-position model. The record is from RNAcentral.
GAUGAAGAACGUAGCGAAAUGCGAUAAGUAGUGUGAAUUGCAGAAUUCAGUGAAUCAUCGAAUCUUUGAACGCACAUUGCGCCCAUUAGCAUUCUAGUGGGCAUGCCUGUUCGAGCGUCAUUUCAACCCUUAAGCCCUGUUGCUUAGCGUUGGGAGCCUACAGUACUGUAGCUCCCCAAAGUUAGUGGCGGAGUCGGUUUCACACUCUAGACGUAGUAAUUUUUUCUCGUCUGUAGUUGAGCCGGUCCCCUGCCGUAAAACACCCAAUUUAUCAAGGUUGACCUCGGAUCAGGUAGGAAUACCCGCUGAACUUAAGCAUAUCAAUAAGCGGAGGA